UGGUGUUGUAGGGAGGAGUUUAUGAAGAAUGAAUGGAUUUUAUUUGGAACUUUUGAGAAGCAUGUCAAAGCAGGUACUUAAUUCAUUUCCAUUUAUUCAUCCUGCUUCUACCUUUUACUUAUGUUACUAUAUUCUUAUUGUUUUAACAAGUCAGGUGUCAGUUUGAAUCUUGGGAUCGUAGAUAAUCACUACUAAUUGUUAAUGUUUAUGCAAAUUGAUUUGUUUUUCUUUUUACUAGUAAUUCUUUUUCACAUAUAUAGAUAGGGGUGAACAUUUUGUUCUUCAAUUUUUGAUUUUUCAAUAGUAUGUAUCGAAUAUCGAACCAAACUAGUUCAGUUGGAUUCGAUUUAAUUCAGUUUUUAAAAUUCGGUUCUGCAAUUUUUUAUGAAUAUUAUUAACAGUAACAAGGAUAUUCAACUUGUGUGCAAUCCAUGCUAAGAGAGUCACCAAUCACCAUGGAGAACGAGCUUAAUUAAGUUGGUCACAAUAUUGAUUAAUGAUCAGUCUCUUUUUUUGGUUUUAGCCUUUAGGUACUGAACUAGUCGAUGGUUAUCUCAAGGACAGUAUGAUUUUAAUUAGCCUUUAUGAAAUUCUAAAUGAAGUGAUAAUUAAUAAACAUGAAAUUUACAUAAAUUUCAUUAGUGUUAGAGCUAAUUACUUAGGUACACUCUAAUUUGUAAUAUUACAUAUCAUAUCAAAUUUUGGUGCGUUCAGAUGCAUUUAGAUAUGUUCAGAUACAUGUAUCUCAAGAUAUAUGAGGUCAAAAUUAAGUAUAAUUUGUUCUAGAUACACUGUAUCCAAGUGGAAUCGCAUGUAUCUUGGAUAAAUAACAAAUCUCGCUUGCCACUCUCCUAUAUAUCUGAUGUGAUUCACAUGUAUUUGAGAUACAUGACAAAUCUUGCUCGCUUCCUCCCUAUUUUAGUGUAUCUGGUAGCAAAAAUACAUGUAUCGAGGUGUAUCUUUCUCAAUAUAGAAUAGAAAACUCUUAAUUAGUAAUAAAAUAUGUAAUAUUUUGAAAGCAUAAGUAAUAAUUGUAUCUAUGGUAAUGAAGUAGGUAUAAUUACUAAGUUUCUCCUUAAUAAAUAGAAUUAACUUACUACUCUAAUCAAGUAAGUAGUAUAAGUAUUAACUAAUCCAGAAAAUCGUACUGGGGCAUCAGGGCAAUAUCAUUGACAGUCCAAGACAUUUGUUGCAAAUUUUGGUUGAUAAGAUGGUCAUGCAUUAGUCGUCAUUGCUGAUUAUGAUAAAGAAAAAAAGUUAUAAUAUAUCGGUUCUUGGGUGCACCGAAGUACCAGACCCUAAAACCGAGAAUCAAACCGAAGAAUCGAAUUAAUUCAGUCCAAUUUUUUGGUUUUUCGAUAUUUAUGCCUAAUAUAGAUAUUUAUGCUCUAACAAUAUAACAAAAGAACAAUUUUUAGCAGCAAUAAAUAGUCACAUUAACAAAGAAUGUUAAAACCUUUAAGAUAACGAGUACUAUGAUUCCAAAUGCUCUGGCCGAUUCAAUAGAUUAGUAUUGUCUGAUGUAUACGAGACACAAAUGUAGGGUAUUUUUUCUGUUUCACUAUGUUAAGUUUUGUGUAUUUUAUGCUCGGAUUGAUAUAUAUAUAUAUAGCACAACAUAACAUGAGCUUUAGUGCAGCAGACUGUCCUUUUAAUUUUUAUACCACAGCAUAACACUCUUUUUUGAAACAGGAUGCUUUGUUCCCAGGAGAAAUCUCGAGGAAUGGAAAGGUUCAAUGCUCAAAUCUAACCUCUGGAUGUGACAUAUAGGAACUAAUUCAUUUUGGAAGGCAAGUCAAGUUGUGGCUAUUGUGAGUUCAUUAAUAGUACAAUUAGUUUAGUUAGAUACCAAUAUUUUGCUUUAAUUAAUGUAUAGUUGAGAUCCACCUUCCAAAACUAGCCCUUUGUUGGGCUUCUGGUUAAUUAGAUUUGUGGCCUUCUUCUUCAUCAUGUUCAUUUGAUGGACAUGAAUGAAGAAAUAUAUGUUUGUAUCUUAAUGAUGUCGAUUGACGAAAAUGGGUGAUUUUUUUAAUGAAUAUAUAAGUUCGACUCUUUUGUUGAAGUGUGUGACCA
Molecule: long non-coding RNA, 2073 nt
Filed under: Solanum tuberosum (potato)
Lineage: Eukaryota; Viridiplantae; Streptophyta; Magnoliopsida; Solanales; Solanaceae
Description: long non-coding RNA (STUB_LNC006458)
Source: RNAcentral